UUUCCGUAGGUGAACCUGCGGAGGGAUCAUUAAAGAAAAUAUGCCCUUCGGGGUAGACCUCCCCCCCUUUGUUUAUAUUACCUUUGUUGCUUUGGCAGGCCCGACUUCGGACCACCGGCUUCGGCUGGUCAGUGCUUGCCAGCGGACUCAAAACUCUUAUCACUAAUGUCGUAUGAGUACUUUAUAAUAGUUAAAACUUUCGACAACGGAUCUCUUGGUUCUG
Molecule: unclassified non-coding RNA, 223 nt
Filed under: plant metagenome
Description: partial contains small subunit ribosomal RNA, internal transcribed spacer 1, and 5.8S ribosomal RNA
Source: RNAcentral